Long non-coding RNA from Homo sapiens (human), 3627 nucleotides. RefSeq lists it as uncharacterized. NCBI's taxonomy places the organism in Eukaryota, Metazoa, Chordata, Mammalia, Primates, Hominidae. The record is from RefSeq and is a predicted model, not a curated record. The transcript is spliced from 7 exons.
AUCCACUGACUCACACCUGCCUCUCUGCUUGUCCAGAGAGGUACAGAGAAGUAAUGACUUGGACUUGAGGAAGGCCCUUGUAGGACAUGUGAAUGCCAGUGCUCAUGGAGAAAGGUGGAGGAAGAGAGCCAGAGUGCAGUUCACCUCUGGGAGAGCAGACCAGAGUGGCUUCCGUGGGCACAUGCUGGAUUGAAGUGAGAAGACGUGACUACUAAAGUUGAGGCCCCAAGUCUCAGCUUCUUCCCCCUCCAAAGCAUGAGUGGAGGAUUCACUUAAGGCCACUUUGAAGCCCAUAUUGGAGGAGCAUUACUCACUCUGAGGAUCCUGGCAUAGGCAGAUGCAUCACUUGUAUUGAAGUAUAUUAUCUGCUGUGAUAUUUAUGAUGAAAUGAGUUUGCCAGCCAUCGUCUAUCAGGGGAUCAAACAUAGGCACCUGCCUGUCCAAGGGGGUCUAAGUCACAGUACAGAAGUGGUUUGCAAAGGCUGGUGGGAUGGUGUGGCAGGCCUGUGGAGUUGAAUAAAAAUCCUGAUGUCCUUCCUGGCAUGAAGAAUGGAGCUGCCAAGCUGCCCCCAGGAGAAGCGUGCUGCCUAUGCAUCUCACUGGACUUCUGUGUACAGAAGAAAUAUUGGUGGUUUGACCAAACGCUCGGGCUCCCCACGACUCCCGUUGUUAUAUGGGAAAGAACAAGGUCUGGCCCACCUCUCUAAACCUUUAUAAAGGAGCCAGCUGGUGCCUGCCACUUUGUUGCCCACUGGAGAAGACUGGCUGCAUGCAUGUCAUGCACCAUAUCCCAGCAGCAAAGGCCCUGAUUUUUUUUUUUUAUCAGCUGUAGUUCAUUUGUAAAUUAUUAACCUCUCAAGAGCCAAUAUUUGCUCAGGGCCUUCCAGUCCAUCUCAAGUGUCGAUACUGUGCUUGGGAGAUUGCGGGGGAGGAUGGUGCAGGGAGCUCGGUCUGACACGCUGUUGUUGGGGAGGAAAAUGCUCUUUGUCUAGCAAGAGAGGAGGAUCUGACUCAGCAGCAGUAGAACCUCAGGCCAGCCCUUUUCCCACCUGGGGCUGAGGAGACUCAGCCAUGUGAGAGUCCACAUAGAAGCAGGGGUCCUCAGUGCUCUCUAACCACAUUGAGAGUCUACUCUGCCCCAAACCACUCCACUAUGCCAGGCUGAGGCUUUUUAGGCCAAUAUAUAUCUAAGGAUAAAAUGAAGGGAGUUCUGGAUGAUGCAUUAAGAACACUCCUGAGACAUUAGAGCCUUGCUUUGGAUUUGAAGAGGGGAACUUUACUUGUCACCCUGGGUGAAGUCAAUUCCUCUGUGAAUCUCCCCAGUGAGACUGUGGGUACCUUAGGAGAAGAGACAGUGACUUAUUCAUCUCAGAAUCCUCAGACUAGAAUAAGGCCUGGGAUUUAUCAGGCAUUCAGUAAAUUCUUGCUGAAUGAGCAAUUAACUUGAGGUCUUCAGGGUUCCUGGGACCAAAGAGUUGGCCUUUAUAAAAGCACAUUCGUAAUUCAAUCUGUACAAGUAGUACAAUUCAGUAUGGUAUGUUACAAGUCAGUUAUUGAAUAUUACACAUUGCCACAAUGAUCUGUCAGUAAUAAAGACACAGUCCAGAAAAUAUUCUCUCUCGUAGGUCACAACAGUUGACCAGUUGACUCCAAUGAUCUCAUUAAAUAGCUUGAGGUUGAAAAUAACCUAGUGUUUCUCUUACCCAAUACACUAUUUGCUGAUUGAACAACAUAAAGUUUCCAAAAGUGGAAAGGGCAUUAUGAGGAAAGGUAUUAAAAUAAAGCUAUCAUCUUAACUUUUAAUAAAACUGUGUACAAUACUGAAGAUACUUUAUAGCAAGAUGAAAAAAUUAGAGUCCUUGGUGUUGUGCAGAUGAAUUCUAGUCCCAGCAUUAUUCCAUAAUAUGUACCUUGGGCAAAUUAACAACUCUGAGACUCAGUUUUCUCAUCUUUAAAAUGGGGAUACUCUAUCUACCUCUUAAAGUUAUUGUGAGGACUGAAUGAGUUAAUACUUGGAGAGGACUCAGAGCAGGGCAUAGUUAAGGACUCAGUAAGAGCUAACUUUACUAACAUCGCUACCAUCACAAAUAAUAAGUAAGAAAACGUACCUUGAGGAUCUUGCAUAGUACCUGGCAUAAAAUAGGCUCUUAAGAGAUGAAAGCCAAUUAGUACUAGUAAUUAGAGUUUAAAAUGAUAAGAUUUUAAGGCAUGUAGAAAACAAGAAUAUCUUGUGUUUCUGGCAACCAAAGUUAUUCUAUUCCAGGCCAUGGGGAUCUCCUAUUUCUCCAGAAAUAUGGAGGCUACAAGAGAGAACUAACAUUUAUUGGGCACUUACAUUGUACUAGUUACUGUGCUAGGGGCUUUAAAAACAGUUUUUCCAUUUAAGCAAAUAAUCCUAAUAUUUUAGAUAAUUUACCUGAAACCCACCGAGAUGACGUAUUUCUCCAAUGGUUACAUUAGCUAAUACUGGUAGGACUAAGAUUUCAACCCAGAUAUGUUUGGACUCUAUAGCCUGUAUGCUUUCCACUUUUCAGAAACUUAUAAACAAAACAGAGCAAAAACUUUCUGGAACUCUCUGGAGCCCUUGGCUGUUCUCUGGACCUUCCUUUGCUGUGUCUUGGGGCAGGCACAUCUUGGCUUAGGCUGAGCUUUUCUAUUUGCCAAAAGAGUCAUCUCAGAGGGCACAGCCUGGAGUGCAGCUCAACAAACAUAUGUGUAACAGCCGAGUGCCACCACGUUAAGAACUGGACUUACAAGAUGGAUAGGACCUGGUGGCAGCUGUCCUUGAGGAAGCCAGAGCCUGGAGAGACAGAUCUCAUGUUAUAGCAGAGUACCAAUAUUCUGCAGAAAACCAAAACCUCACCUGCAUUCCUACUCCUAUCAUGAUGUUCUGCCCCCCGGGACCCUUGUUUAUGCUGGUCUCUCCUUUUGAAAGAACGUUACCCUUUUCUUCACCCAGCAAAUUCUUACUCAGACUUCAAGACUCAGUUCAGAGUCUGGGGAUGAAUAUUCUACAAAUGGCCCCCAGGAUUGUCAUGGUCCUCACGGCAGGUGAUUUGCUCUUGAACAAUUAACAGAGUGAAGGCUGUGUUCCAUCUCCUCACAGUCUCCCGCUGGGCAUCCUUGGGAGCACAGGAGGAGAAAGGCUUUCUUCUUGAUCCUAUUACUGCUGCCCAGCAUCAAGAAGGAUUAAUUAACCCACCAGGUUUUGCUUCAUUACGAGGAAAAAAGAAAAGCCAGUGACAGUGGAAUUCAAACAUUGAACAGGCAAAGGAAUCAGUGCUCAAGCACCUUAUGAACAUUUCGAAGACUUAGCUGGGCGGUGUGGCGCAAUGUAAAGUAGGGUGACUUGGUGCAAGUUACACACCCCUGCAGCCCUGUUUCUUCAUCCUCAGAGUUCACACUUCAAUUCUACAAAUUGAUGGCCUAUUCUGAGCUAAGCCCCGCCCACUCUGAACUAAGCCCCGCCUACUUUGAUUCCCUACUCUGAGCUAAGGAACAGUCUUUCAUCCCCAUGAAAGCUUUCUGUCUAGAAGGAACUAAAGAGCAUAAUUAUACUUAUUUUCCAGUGCUGUUGUUAGAAUUAAUUAAAUGUGGUAUAGCAUGUGAAAGUACUCUGUAACUAAA